Molecule: ribosomal RNA, 253 nt
Filed under: uncultured bacterium
Lineage: Bacteria
Also listed under: 1 other name
Description: partial 16S ribosomal RNA
Rfam family: Bacterial small subunit ribosomal RNA
Source: RNAcentral
UACGUAGGGUGCGAGCGUUAAUCGGAAUUACUGGGCGUAAAGCGUGCGCAGGCGGUUUUGUAAGACAGGCGUGAAAUCCCCGGGCUCAACCUGGGAACUGCGCUUGUGACUGCAAGGCUAGAGUAUGGCAGAGGGGGGUGGAAUUCCACGUGUAGCAGUGAAAUGCGUAGAGAUGUGGAGGAACACCAAUGGCGAAGGCAGCCCCCUGGGCCAAUACUGACGCUCAUGCACGAAAGCGUGGGUAGCAAACAGG